GACGAACGCUGGCGGCGUGCCUAAUACAUGCAAGUCGAACGCAGUGGGGACGGGUGAGUAACACGUGGGUAACCUCCCAUCAGAGGGGAUAACACUUGGAAACAGGUGCUAAACCGAUACUGAUGGAUGGACCCGCGGUGCAUUAGCUAGUUGGUGGGGUAACGGCUCACCAAGGCCACGAUCCAUAGCCGACCUGGGGGUGGGAUAGGGCAGACGGGGACGUAGACACGGCCCAGACUCCUACGGGAGGCAGCAGUAGGGAAUCGUCGGCAAUGGACGAAAUUCUGACCGAGCAACGCCGCGUGAGUGAAAAAGGUUUUCGGAUCGUAAAACUCUGUUGUUAGAGAAGCGGUAUCUAACCAGAAAGCCACGGCUAACUCCGUGCCAGCCGCCGCGGUAAUAC
This 403-nucleotide ribosomal RNA is filed under the name uncultured bacterium. Its description in RNAcentral is "partial 16S ribosomal RNA". It matches the Rfam family "Bacterial small subunit ribosomal RNA", at positions 28 to 526 of the family's 1533-position model. The record is from RNAcentral.